Molecule: non-coding RNA, 3963 nt
Organism: Misgurnus anguillicaudatus (oriental weatherfish)
Lineage: Eukaryota; Metazoa; Chordata; Actinopteri; Cypriniformes; Cobitidae
Source: RefSeq, a predicted model, not a curated record
CAUCCGAAAGCUGAUUCCAGCUACAGGUUCAUACUGUUGUAUUCUUUUAUACUGUUUCAUUCGUACUGUUUUAAAUCAUUCAGUGAAUGCAAAGUUAAACCGUCGUGUUUUUCAUCUAGAUUUAAAAGUGUCUACCGUUGAAACACAUCUGAUCUCUUCUGAAAGCUGAUUCCAGCUCCAGGUGGCAUAUUAACUGAAUGCUGAUGCACCUUGUAUUUCGAUUGCUUUGUAUGCUUGAAACAUGUGAAGAAUUGACAAUAAAUAAUCUUUAUCAAGUGUUAUACAUUAAAAAGUGGAUAAGUAACAAAAAUGUCACUCCUGACAGCUGAUAAAUUAAUGUUUUUUUAUAGCACCAUUGAGGCGAGCACUUUUCAAGGCAAGAUUCUUUAUAGAACCUUAUAAAAAGUUUCCAUAUAGUACCAAAAAACGGGUUCUGCUGUGGUUACAUGCUGAGGAACCCUUAUUUGGUACUUUUUAGGAGCAUUUGUCUUAAGAGUGUUGCAUAGGUUCGAAACUUUCAAACUUGAAACCAAAUAGAAGGGUCACACUGUUUUUUUUUGUGGAGUGGACAUGAACAAGCUGCAGGCAUUCAAAUGUUAUUUGUAAUUUAUUGUCUUAUUUCAUAUUUAAAAAAUAGCUAUACAACUGGUGUUCCUCAAUUUUAGGGCCUAUUUUGUUUAGUAUAUCAGUUUUGUUCAGUUUUUUAUGUGCAUGCAAAAAGCAAUCAGCAAGCAAAUUAACUGAAGCUUUACCUUCAUGUUCUUUUUGUGUAAGUGAUAACUGUUUCUGUAUGUAUUUUAUGUAUUUGUAUGUUUUUUACACGUAUAGAGUGAAAUGCACACGGUGAGGAAUGGACCCAGACCUUCAGUGCCAGACCUCUGACCCGUUAACCUCCAUCCCGACAGCCAGCGCCUUCUCCGGCUCCCAUUGCGGUAUCGCUUCUCGGCUUUUUGGACAAGAACAAGUGGACACCGGGGACUACAAGUUUAAAUGGAUUUUUGACCUUCGGAAAUGGAAGCGAGGCUUGCUCCGUCCACUCCGUUCAUCGACUCGGGCGCUUUCCGGGCACAAAUAAGUUUGCGGAGGUGAUACCAGGACGAAUUAAACAGCCUCGACACAGCUGAAGGCGCAAGAAAAUCGUACGAGACAGUUUGGGAUGUUAAAAACACCUGAAAACUUUUUUUUCCACUACCCUUCAUACUACAGCGGUCGAAAAACCACAGCAACGUCGACACGCCUGGAAGCAUAGCUGUAUUUGUUUAAGACAACGGGUAAAGUAUUUUCUUGAUUACCUAAAUGACUUGCAGUAAGAAAAUAUUUUAAUUUAUAAUGAUAACUCUGUCAUCAUUUAUUCAUCCUCGUGUUGUUUUCAACCUGUAUGCAUUCGUAUUUUGGAGGUGACACGAUGACGACUUAAACAUCAUCGACACAGCUGAAAAAGCGAACGAGACAGAUUGGGAUGUUCAAAACACCUGAAAACUUUUUUUUCACUGUACUACAGCUGUCGAAGAACCACAGCAACGUCGGCAGAUCUGGAAGCAUAGCUGUAUUUGUUUAACUCACAACGACAACGGGUAAGUCAUUGAGCCCUUGUGUUUUUAUUUAUCCACGUUCUAAAAUUGCUAUGCUUUCGUUGUUUCUCGAUUGCUCUGUACAUUUCUUUGUUUCUAUUCCACGUAAAGUUACUUUGUAAUAACGAAACGAUAUAUUGAAAUGCGCUAUUUAAAUCCAUUUGAUUUAAAUUGUUUCACGUUUUUCUCUCUGCACGGUUUAACCGGGCUGGAAACGGAAAAUGGGUAGAUCUCGAAGAAUAUUUGGUUUCAGACCUGGCUUCGUGCGCCUUUCCACCUGGUCACACACAGUAAUGAAAUGGUAGUCGGACGGCCUUCGGGGGCGCCGUCGAUGUGAUCGGUCACAGGAAGAUGCGGCCGUCUGGCCUCAAAGGCUGUUGCUCAUACUUACCUGGCAGGGGAGAUACCAUGAUCAUGAAGGUGGUUCACCCAGGGCGAGGCUCAGCCAUUGCACUCCGGUUGUGCUGACCCUUUGCGAAUUCCCCAAAUGUGGGAAUCUCGACUGCAAAAUUUCUGAUAGUGGGGGACUGCGUUCGCGCUCUCCCCUGGCCUUUGUGUUAAAAAUAGAUUCGUUUGUCUUUUUACGGAAAAUCCAAGAGACGCCUAACCACGGCACAAGAACGCAUUGGUCAUCAAAAAGCGGCUAUUAAACGACUACAUAACUUCUAAUAGACCGCGAAUAUGUGUCUAGGCUAAAACAAGGCUUAAUUUGGGCUGUCAGUGAAAAUCUAAUAGACGUUUGACCGUUCCCCAAGUAUAGACUGGCCAUUAAAUAGAACCACAAUCAAACAGCUACAUGUCUAAGAGACAUUCAACGAAAUAAUGCUUAGAUGAUUCUUUUACUUACAAUGUAAGCGGUUCUCAGGAAUGGCAAUCAUCCAAACUAAUAAAUUAUAAAGCUUUUAAAAGAAAAUGACAACCGUUAAACAACCUAGACAACGUUGGGCAGUACAAAAUGCUUAGAAAUACAAGACAAAACGAAAUAUUGUACAUGAAUGUACAUUAAAACAAGCCAACAAAUCUGCCAAUGGGCUAAGACAAUUUUUCUUGAAUUAGGUGUUUAAAUCUAGAUUUGUUUCUAACCCCUUUGGCAGAUUUAUUUGCUUGUUUUAAGCCCAAAUUCACUUAAAUUUUAUGUUUUUUCUCCCGAAAGGCUAGGCUUAUUUUCUUAUGUCCUUUUGCUCAUCAAAAUAAUGCAUCUUAUUUUAAGACUUUUUAGAUAUUUGCAUAGUUAAAAAGGAUUUUUUGUGCAAUGUAUUCAUUCAUUCGCUACCCUUCAUACUACAGCUGUCGAAAAACCACAGCAACGUCGACAGACCUGGAAGCAAAGCUGUAUUUGUUUAACUUGCAAAGACAACGGGUAAAGUAUUUUCUUGAUUACCUAAAUGACUUGCAGUAAGAAAAUAUUUCAAUUUAUAAUAAUGAUAAUUCUGUCAUCAUUUACUCAUCCUCGUGUUGUUUUAAACCUGUAUGCGUUCGUUUUUUCUGAUUAACACAAAAGAAGAUAUUUUGAGGAAUGAUGGUAAACCCACAGCAGAUAGUGACCAUUGACUUCCAUAGUAGGAAUAAAAAAAUAUGAUGAAAUUUAAUAGGUACCAUCGACUGUGUGCUAACCAUCAUUUUUCAAAAUAUUUUCUUCAUCAUUUAUCACGAUACUUCCAAAAUAUUUUUUUCCUACUAUGGAAGUCAAUGAUAAUGUAUUUCAUUAUUUGCUUUACAAGCCUGAAAAUGAUAGGUUGGAAUCCAGGCGACAGGAUUCUAUGGUAGUCAAAAACAGGCAAACAAGUAAAAUAAUCACCAUUUACUUUUAAAGCAUUUUGAAAAUUGCUUGCUUAUGCUGGGAGUAAAGGUAUUUAAUGCAGUGCGCAUCCUGUUUAAAAGGUAAGGUAUGAUUCUUUUAAAGCUGACACAUUUGCCACAUUAAAAUAACAGAAAUGUACUGUUUCAACAUUUUGGAGCCGGUGUGUCUGUGUUCUUGGGGCACAUCUAAAUGUAAGAGCAGAAUUGCUUAAUAUUCUUCUCUAUUUCUUGUAUAGGUCAAUUAUGAGUGAAGAACCGUUCACCAAAUGAAGACCACAGCCAGGUGACGGGAUUGUGUGGUAAUCACAAACAGGUUGAAAAUUGAAGUUCUGUGUGUUCUUUUUGUACUUUAUUUCUGCAGGUAAGCACCAUACCGUAAGCUUCAUUCCCUUUAUAACAGAUUUAAAAGUGCCUACUGUUGAAACACAUCUGAUCUCAUCUGAAGCUGAUUCCAGCUAUACAGGUUCAUACUGUUGUAUUCUUUUAUACUGUUUUAUUCGUACUGUUUUAAAUCAUUCAGUAAAUCUAAAGUUAAACCGAUCAUACUGUUGUAUUCUUUUAAACUGUUUUAUUCGUACUGUUUUAAAUCAUU